This 468-nucleotide ribosomal RNA is filed under the name uncultured bacterium. Its description in RNAcentral is "partial 16S ribosomal RNA". It matches the Rfam family "Bacterial small subunit ribosomal RNA", at positions 28 to 507 of the family's 1533-position model. The record is from RNAcentral.
GACGAACGCUGGCGGCGUGCUUAACACAUGCAAGUCGAACGGAAAGGCCCUGCUUUUGUGGGGUGCUCGAGUGGCGAACGGGUGAGUAACACGUGAGUAACCUGCCCUUGACUUUGGGAUAACUUCAGGAAACUGGGGCUAAUACCGGAUAGGAGCUCCUGCUGCAUGGUGGGGGUUGGAAAGUUUCGGCGGUUGGGGAUGGACUCGCGGCUUAUCAGCUUGUUGGUGGGGUAGUGGCUUACCAAGGCUUUGACGGGUAGCCGGCCUGGGAGGGUGACCGGGCACAUUGGGACUGAGAUACGGCCCAGACUCCUACGGGAGGCAGCAGUGGGGAAUAUUGCACAAUGGGCGGAAGCCUGAUGCAGCAACGCCGCGUGCGGGAUGACGGCCUUCGGGUUGUAAACCGCUUUCGCCUGUGACGAAGCGUGAGUGACGGUAAUGGGUAAAGAAGCACCGGCUAACUACGUG